This 292-nucleotide ribosomal RNA is filed under the name uncultured Planctomycetota bacterium. RNAcentral's name for it is "uncultured planctomycete partial 16S ribosomal RNA". The record is from RNAcentral. Lineage: Bacteria; Pseudomonadati; Planctomycetota.
GGACUACUGGGGUAUCUAAUCCCGUUUGCUCCCCUGGCUUUCGCGCCUCAGCGUCAGAAGAGAUCCAGCACGCCGCUUUCGCCACCGGCGUUCCUUCCGAUAUCUACGCAUUUCACCGCUCCACCGGAAGUUCCGCAUGCCCCUAUCUCCCUCUAGCCGGCCAGUAUCGGGGGCACUUUUCCGGUUGAGCCGAAAGAUUUCACCCCAGACUUGGUCGACCGCCUACGCGCCCUUUAAGCCCAGUGAAUCCGAACAACGUUCGCACGGUUCGUCUUACCGCGGCUGCUGGCAC